UAAGGGCGCACGGUGGAUGCCUUGGCACUAGAAGCCGAUGAAGGACGUUACUAACGACGAUAUGCUUUGGGGAGCUGUAAGUAAGCUUUGAUCCAGAGAUUUCCGAAUGGGGAAACCCAGCAUGAGUUAUGUCAUGUUAUCGAUAUGUGAAUACAUAGCAUAUCAGAAGGCACACCCGGAGAACUGAAACAUCUUAGUACCCGGAGGAAGAGAAAGAAAAUUCGAUUCCCUUAGUAGCGGCGAGCGAAACGGGAAGAGCCCAAACCAACAAGCUUGCUUGUUGGGGUUGUAGGACACUCUAUACGGAGUUACAAAGGACGACAUUAGACGAAUCAUCUGGAAAGAUGAAUCAAAGAAGGUAAUAAUCCUGUAGUCGAAAAUGUUGUCUCUCUUGAGUGGAUCCUGAGUACGACGGAGCACGUGAAAUUCCGUC
RNAcentral lists this ribosomal RNA (433 nucleotides) under Staphylococcus aureus. Its description in RNAcentral is "partial 23S ribosomal RNA". It matches the Rfam family "Bacterial large subunit ribosomal RNA", at positions 12 to 438 of the family's 2925-position model. The record is from RNAcentral. Lineage: Bacteria; Bacillati; Bacillota; Bacilli; Caryophanales; Staphylococcaceae.